This 253-nucleotide ribosomal RNA is filed under the name uncultured bacterium. Its description in RNAcentral is "partial 16S ribosomal RNA". It matches the Rfam family "Bacterial small subunit ribosomal RNA", at positions 524 to 776 of the family's 1533-position model. The record is from RNAcentral.
UACAGAGGGUGCGAGCGUUAAUCGGAAUUACUGGGCGUAAAGGGCGCGUAGGUGGUUUGUUAAGAUUGAUGUGAAAUCCCUGGGCUUAACCUAGGAACUGCAUCGAUGACUGAUGAGCUAGAGUACUGUAGAGGGUAGUGGAAUUUCCGGUGUAGCGGUGAAAUGCGUAGAGAUCGGAAGGAACACCAGUGGCGAAGGCGGCUACCUGGACAGAUACUGACACUGAGGCGCGAGAGCGUGGGGAGCAAACAGG